This 54-nucleotide transfer RNA is filed under the name Baylisascaris ailuri (red panda roundworm). Its description in RNAcentral is "tRNA-Thr". The record is from RNAcentral. Lineage: Eukaryota; Metazoa; Nematoda; Chromadorea; Rhabditida; Ascarididae.
GUCAUGUUAGUUUAUGUUAAAAUGUGUGAUUUGUAAUCACGAGUGUUAGUGACU